CCUACGGGUGGCUGCAGUGGGGGAUAUUGCACAAUGGAGGAAACUCUGAUGCAGCAACGCCGCGUGAGGGAAGAAGGUCUUCGGAUUGUAAACCUCUGUCCUCAGGGACGAUAAUGACGGUACCUGAGGAGGAAGCCCCGGCUAACUACGUGCAAGCAGCCGCGGGAAGACGUAGGGAGCAAGCGAUGUCCGGAUUUACUGGGUGUAAAGGGUGCGUAGGCGGCCCUGCAAGUCAGGUGUGAAAACUAUGGGCUUAACUCAUAGAUUGCACUUGAAACUGAGGGGCUUGAGUGAAGUAGAGGCCGGCGGAAUUCCCGGUGUAGCGGGGAAAUGCGUAGAGAUCGGGAAGAACACCAGUGGCGAAGGCGGCCUGCUGGGCUUUAACUGACGCUGUGCCACGAAAGCGCGGGUAGCAAACAGGAUUAGAUACCCGAGUAGUC
RNAcentral lists this ribosomal RNA (440 nucleotides) under uncultured bacterium. RNAcentral describes it as "bacterial SSU rRNA". It matches the Rfam family "Bacterial small subunit ribosomal RNA", at positions 338 to 795 of the family's 1533-position model. The record is from RNAcentral.